UACGUAGGGGGCAAGCGUUGUCCGGAAUCAUUGGGCGUAAAGAGCGCGUAGGCGGUCCGGUAAGUCCGCUCUGAAAGCCCGGGGCUCAACCCCGGGAGGCGGGCGGAUACUGUCGGGCUAGAGUCCGGAAGAGGCGAGUGGAAUUCCUGGUGUAGCGGUGAAAUGCGCAGAUAUCAGGAGGAGCACCGAUGGCGAAGGCAGCUCGCUGGGACGGUACUGACGCUGAGGCGCGAAAGCGUGGGGAGCAAACAGG
RNAcentral lists this ribosomal RNA (253 nucleotides) under uncultured bacterium. RNAcentral's name for it is "partial 16S ribosomal RNA". It matches the Rfam family "Bacterial small subunit ribosomal RNA", at positions 524 to 776 of the family's 1533-position model. The record is from RNAcentral.